RNAcentral lists this transfer RNA (91 nucleotides) under Thalassotalea loyana. RNAcentral's name for it is "tRNA-Ser". It matches the Rfam family "tRNA". From Rfam's summary of the family: Transfer RNA (tRNA) molecules are approximately 80 nucleotides in length. The record is from RNAcentral. Lineage: Bacteria; Pseudomonadati; Pseudomonadota; Gammaproteobacteria; Alteromonadales; Colwelliaceae. RNAcentral also lists the same sequence under 1 other name.
GGUGAGUUGGCUGAGUGGUUGAAGGCGCACGACUGGAACUCGUGUAAGGGUUUAUAGCCCUUCGAGGAUUCGAAUUCCUCACUCACCGCCA